RNAcentral lists this ribosomal RNA (475 nucleotides) under Acinetobacter baumannii. RNAcentral's name for it is "partial 23S ribosomal RNA". It matches the Rfam family "Bacterial large subunit ribosomal RNA", at positions 314 to 798 of the family's 2925-position model. The record is from RNAcentral. Lineage: Bacteria; Pseudomonadati; Pseudomonadota; Gammaproteobacteria; Moraxellales; Moraxellaceae.
UAAGUUAUGUGUGUUUUAGUGGAACGCUCUGGGAAGUGCGAACGUAGAGGGUGAUAUUCCCGUACACGAAAGGGCACACAUAAUGAUGACGAGUAGGGCGAGGCACGUGAAACCUUGUCUGAAUAUGGGGGGACCAUCCUCCAAGGCUAAAUACUCCUGACUGACCGAUAGUGAACCAGUACCGUGAGGGAAAGGCGAAAAGAACCCCUGUGAGGGGAGUGAAAUAGAUCCUGAAACCGCAUGCAUACAAGCAGUGGGAGCACCUUCGUGGUGUGACUGCGUACCUUUUGUAUAAUGGGUCAGCGACUUAUAUUCAGUAGCGAGGUUAACCGUAUAGGGGAGCCGUAGAGAAAUCGAGUCUUAAUAGGGCGUUUAGUUGCUGGGUAUAGACCCGAAACCAGGCGAUCUAUCCAUGAGCAGGUUGAAGGUUGGGUAACACUAACUGGAGGACCGAACCCACUGUCGUUGAAAAGCC